GAUGAACGCUGGCGGCGUGCCUAAUACAUGCAAGUCGAGCGAACGGACGAGAAGCUUGCUUCUCUGAUGUUAGCGGCGGACGGGUGAGUAACACGUGGAUAACCUACCUAUAAGACUGGGAUAACUUCGGGAAACCGGAGCUAAUACCGGAUGAUAUGUUGAACCGCAUGGUUCAAAAGUGAAAGACGGUCUUGCUGUCACUUAUAGAUGGAUCCGCGCUGCAUUAGCUAGUUGGUAAGGUAACGGCUUACCAAGGCAACGAUGCAUAGCCGAUCUGAGAGGGUGAUCAGCCACACUGGAACUGAGACACGGUCCAGACUCCUACGGGAGGCAGCAGUAGGGAAUCUUGCGCAAUGGGCGAAAGCCUGACGGAGCCACGCCGCGUGAGUGAUGAAGGUCUUCGGAUCGUAAAGCUCUGUUAUUAGGGAAGAACAGAUGUGUAAGUAACUGUGCCCGUCUUGACGGUACCUAAUCAGAAAGCAACGGCUAACUACGUG
This 497-nucleotide ribosomal RNA is filed under the name uncultured bacterium. RNAcentral's name for it is "partial 16S ribosomal RNA". It matches the Rfam family "Bacterial small subunit ribosomal RNA", at positions 28 to 507 of the family's 1533-position model. The record is from RNAcentral.